RNAcentral lists this small RNA (2389 nucleotides) under Rattus norvegicus (Norway rat). Its description in RNAcentral is "uncharacterized LOC102556513". Lineage: Eukaryota; Metazoa; Chordata; Mammalia; Rodentia; Muridae. The record is from RNAcentral.
GUUCAAAGAAAAAAAUUAUAAAGGAAUACUGUGGCUUCCAAAGAAAGCUGCUAGCUGUUCGGAUCAUUAGGGAAGAGUGCCCUCUGCCGGAAUUUGUGGGUUAUUGCAAUAAGCGCUGUGUGCUACUCUGGAAUCCUUCCAGAUCUAGGAAUGUAAUUGGAAAGUUCCCCUGCGGCUACCGUACUUGCCCUCCAGUUUAAGGGCAGCUGAGAAGAGACCUGUUCCCUGCACACUCCCUGUUCCAGGAGAUUGAAAAUUCAUACAUGCCUCUACUGGACAUUUCUGGGCUGGGGUCCAUUGAGAAGCUGCCAUCAUCAAAAAGCCAAGCGUCUUAUACUGUAGGUUAGUUCCCUAUAUCGGUUGUUCAAUUGUAUAGGGGGUGGUGUCAUAAAAUUUUUGCCAUCAAUAAAAUAUUACCGAAAGUGCAACAACCAAAACUACCAUUCAAACUCAAGUGUGUCCCAUGGUAUGAGUGGCAGCUCUUCCCAUGUGCUACACAGGGCAGGGCUCUGCACUUCACAUGUGUGACAGGACACAAAACGCUAAUUCAUUUAACAACCAUGUAUAAGCAUUCCCUAUGUGCCCAGCGGUACAAUAGUAACUCAUAAUGACCCCAUGGAAUUGGUAACCUCCAUUCUGUACAAGUAAUUGAGACACAGAGAAGUUAAUGAACAUUAAAAAAAUCACUCAGUAAUAAAAAGGAAAAACCCAACCUUUCAAUCUGCCUCCAAAUUUCAUGUUUUUUAAAUCAUUAAAGUGAAAUAGUUUUGUUUAUUUAUUGUCUCAAGAGAUCCUUUUACUACUGGAUAGUUUCUCUUCUCAAUCAAAUUCCCUAAACUUAAGGUCCAGUCCAGUAUAUUCAAUGUGUCUUUUGAAAAUGUGAUUGAAACCUCCCUCUCUGUUUCACUCCAUGGCCAGGGCAUAGAGUCACCACAGAAAGCAGCAGAAAGGAUCUGCAUUAUUACUUCCUGGUAAUGCCCCUCUCCUGGGCAGGAGGAGAGCUAGGAGAACCCUGCCUUCCAUGUUACAAGCCUGCCUUACAUCAUUGUCUGUUAACAUGAUGUGGACAGUGGUAACUCCAACCAGUCCUGUUGGUGAUGGGCACUGUGCUAUUAGGAGAACUAGCCUCAUCUUCAGGGUGAUUGACAGCUAGUGAUGUCAUGUUACAUUCCUGAGAUGUCUUAUGUCUUGUCGUUGCUCACUGUGGUGGUCCUAGCAAGACUCACCCUCCCUAUGUCAUCUGUUCUCAUGGCAAUCCAUGAGCCUUUGGGUAUACACAGGUUCUCUCUCCCAUUUUUAAGCUGCUGUCAAGUAGGGCAAAUUGCCCUCGUCCUUCUGCCCUGGCACAUGUUUCUCUCACAGCAGAGGGGUCAACUAACUGAGCAAGCUCAUAAUCAACAGCCAGAAACGCCAGGGGCCUCUCCCUAUAGUCGCUCCCAAAUGCUAGAGGAGGUUCUUUUCUUGGGUCUCCUGACUUGCCUUUGAUAGAUGAGUAGUGGAAAGACCAAGACUACAUGGCCCAGACAGUGCCUUCCUUCUUCCCAGACCUCUGUGGGUGAGAAACCCUGUGCCCCAGACUGUCCAUGGUUUUCUAACUCUGCUCCCUGGAAUGCAAGUUCUUGAGCUGUCUCAACAGUAAAGGAUACUGUGAGUGAAUCCAUUUUGAAUGAAUGCCAUACUCUGUUUCUCUUGACUCCCUUUUCUUGAAGUUUUCCCCCUUUUAUUAGAUUCUGUAAGCAUAUUAAAGGCUCCGAGGAUUCCCUAAGAUGUCUCUGUCUGUGCUUUAAUUUGGCAUUUCUCAAACUAAUUUGACUAUGCACUUCAUUUUGCUUCACAUUUAUAUGCUGUCCUGGUCACAAGCCCUAGCAGCAGAAGCCUUUGUCCUGGACCCCACAUGUAAGGAACAUUCCUAGGAACUAGAGAAAGGUGGUCAUCUAUUGCUUUUCCAGCCUCUGCACCCUCAAACUCCAAGGUGACUGUGGGAAAACAUAAUGAAAGUGUGUGGGUGACUCUGCUGGAGUGUGGAUGCUCCGAGCUGGCUAGGAGUCUGGAGAAGAGCCAAGUGGGCGAAGCACUUAGGUACAGUAGUGGCACACAUACCUUGGCAGUAACCAAUGGCUCUCUAAUUGGACUGAAGACUCUCAUAACAAGAGGGAUACUAUGUGUGAUAACAGAAAGCUAGCUAAGAGACAAUAAAAGUCAUGAUACCGAAAAUAAUACGUAGUGAAAUUGAAGUAUUUUAUAACGUUCUAUGAUAAUGAUCAUUUAUAUAAGCUAACCCAUUAUAAUGAUAUGCAUGGCAUGUAAACUUGCUGACUUGUUUCUAAAUCUUAUUUGAAAAUAUUAUUCACAAUUAAAGUUGUUACAGCUCAGGCAAAGCAGUGCUUUU